Molecule: ribosomal RNA, 505 nt
Filed under: uncultured bacterium
Lineage: Bacteria
Description: partial 16S ribosomal RNA
Rfam family: Bacterial small subunit ribosomal RNA
Source: RNAcentral
GAUGAACGCUGGCGGCGUGCCUAAUACAUGCAAGUCGAACGCACAGUUUAUACCGUAGCUUGCUACAACAUACAGUGUGAGUUGCGAACGGGAGAGUAACGCGUAGGUAACCUGCCUGGUAGCGGGGGAUAACUACUGGAAACGAUAGCUAAUACCGCAUAAUAUUGAUUAUUGCAUGAUAAUUGAUUUAUCGCUGCUAUUGCAUCACUAUCAGAUGGACCUGCGUUGUAUUAGCUAGUAGGUGAGGUAACGGCUCACCUAGGCGAAGAUACAUAGCCGACCUGGGAAGGUGGUCGGCCAAACUGGGACUUGAGCAAGGCCCAGAAUCCUACGGGGGGCAGCAGGUGGGGAACAUCGGCAAAUGAGGAAAGUCGGAACGAGGAAAGGCGCGGUGGUGGAGGAGGUUUUCGGAUCGUAAAGCUCUGUUGUAAGGGAAGAACGGGUGUGAGAGUGAAAAGUUCACGUUGUGGCGGUAGCUAACCAGAAAGGGACGGCUAACUACGUG